Molecule: long non-coding RNA, 1320 nt
Organism: Limulus polyphemus (Atlantic horseshoe crab)
Lineage: Eukaryota; Metazoa; Arthropoda; Merostomata; Xiphosura; Limulidae
Exons: 2
Source: RefSeq, a predicted model, not a curated record
GUAUCAAAACACAGUCCAGCUAUGCAAAGCCCAAAACUGAUCACACAUUUUGAUAUUUAAUUUCCAUCACAAAAGGCAUGCACAGCAUAUUUUAUGCAAGACAUAAAUCAAUGACAAUUUUUAACCGUACUUCAAUGUACAAUAUUCUUUCAUGUUAUAAAUAACAACUGAAUACUGAAAUGUAGCAGUAUUCUGAAAAACACUGUCAGAUAUUCCCCUUUCUACUGUUUUGGAAGAACUUGGUACUAGUACUUUUAUUCUAAAUCAGUUUAUUAAUAAAUAUAAUGAUAUUAAACCAUUUUUUUCAAAUAGAUGUCAACACUAACUAUGGCACUGAGGGAUGUUCACAUAUCAAUAAAGAGAGAGAAAAAAGGAUUAAUCAUGGCAGUGAGUUAUGUUCCAACUCAUGUUUGAAAUGGCUGAAUAUGAGAGUUUUUCAAUCUUCUAUACUAAUAAAUUCUCAGUAUUAAAGAAAGUUAAUAUCUCAUUUGUUUUACUAAUGACUGAGGUUUCUCACCAAAUAGUUAGACUAAAAUUAAAAGAUCAAUGUACUACACUGGUAAUUUUUUUACCACUGUGUUUAUAUACAUAGCAUUCUAUAAUACUUGCAUAUAGAAUGUUCUUCAAAAUGCUGAACUAAUAAAAUACUGAAUUAUUAAAAACCUUUAAUUCUGAUAUACUUUUUUUUCUUUCAGUUUAAUUUUUGUUUCAAGGGCUUCAGGAUGCACAAAGUUUUAAAAUAACAGAGUAAUAAUUCAAAUUUUUUCCCCUUUAUUAGCAACUUUUAUGCCUUUUUUAGAUAAGUUUUAAUUGAGUAGUUAGAAAAUGCAAAAAGAUACAAGAUUAAAGACAUAAAUAACACAAGAAAAUUAUCCAAACAUGGAACUGAACACUUUGAACAUCAACUAAUCCUGUGAAAUCUACUGGUAGGAAUUAGUACACAGAACAACUCCCAAACUGUCACUGAACAGAAAACAACAAUUCAGAAUUACAAAUAUUAUAGGAAGUAAGCUGUUUUGACAGGGGUGAGGUGGAAUAUAAAUAUAAAAACUGUGUGGUAAGUUGAAAUGGAGGUCAUACUGAAACUUAAAUAAGAAAUAGCUUCAAAUUUUGCUCCUUACAUUGGUAUCUAUUUCACAUUUUUACCAUUACUAGUUUUUCACUAGUAAAUGUUUGAACAAUUUCAACUGGAACACUGUACUUAGGCUAAAGCCGAUUCAAAAACUUCACAGUAAAAGCUUUAAAUAAACAAAAAAAAAAACAAUUUCAAUCUUGCAUGUGUGUGUAAUUUGAUUCAAGAUUGUGUAAGUUAUCUGAUAA